Molecule: ribosomal RNA, 301 nt
Filed under: uncultured bacterium
Lineage: Bacteria
Description: partial 16S ribosomal RNA
Rfam family: Bacterial small subunit ribosomal RNA
Source: RNAcentral
CAGUCGCCGCGGGAAUACGAAGGGUGCAAGCGUUACUCGGAAUUACUGGGCGUAAAGCGUGCGUAGGUGGUGGUUUAAGUCCGUUGUGAAAGCCCCGGGCUCAACCUGGGAACUGCAUCCAAAACUGGCGAGCUAGAGUAUGGUAGAGGGUGGUGGAAUUUCCUGUGUAGCGGUGAAAUGCGUAGAUAUAGGAAGGAACAUCAGUGGCGAAGGCGACCACCUGGACUGAUACUGACACUGAGGUGCGAAAGCGUGGGGAGCAAACAGGAUUAGAGACCCCUGUAGUCCCUGUCUCUUAUAC